CCCGCCGUAGUACAAUGGAUAGUACAAGCGCCUCCUAAGCGUUAGAUGCAGGUUCGAUUCCUGCCGGGGGGACCA
This 75-nucleotide transfer RNA is filed under the name Limnobacter litoralis. Its description in RNAcentral is "tRNA-Arg". It matches the Rfam family "tRNA". From Rfam's summary of the family: Transfer RNA (tRNA) molecules are approximately 80 nucleotides in length. RNAcentral also lists the same sequence under 1 other name. Lineage: Bacteria; Pseudomonadati; Pseudomonadota; Betaproteobacteria; Burkholderiales; Burkholderiaceae. The record is from RNAcentral.